Molecule: ribosomal RNA, 400 nt
Filed under: uncultured bacterium
Lineage: Bacteria
Description: bacterial SSU rRNA
Rfam family: Bacterial small subunit ribosomal RNA
Source: RNAcentral
GAUGAACGCUAGCGGCAGGCCUAAUACAUGCAAGUCGAACGGCAGCGGACCUUCGGGUGCCGGUGAGUGGCGAACGGGUGAGUAAUAUAUCGGAACGUACCUUUCAGUGGGGGAUAACGUAGCGAAAGUUACGCUAAUACCGCAUAUUCUGUGAGCAGGAAAGCAGGGGAUCGCAAGACCUUGCGCUGAUUGAGCGGCCGAUAUCAGAUUAGCUAGUUGGUGAGGUAAAGGCUCACCAAGGCGACGAUCUGUAGCGGGUCUGAGAGGAUGAUCCGCCACACUGGAACUGAGACACGGUCCAGACUCCUACGGGAGGCAGCAGUGGGGAAUAUUGGACAAUGGGGGCGAACCCUGAUCCAGCCAUGCCGCGUGUGUGAAGAAGGCCUUCGGUUGGUAAGAC